This 159-nucleotide ribosomal RNA is filed under the name Staphylococcus aureus. Its description in RNAcentral is "partial 16S ribosomal RNA". It matches the Rfam family "Bacterial small subunit ribosomal RNA", at positions 1376 to 1533 of the family's 1533-position model. Lineage: Bacteria; Bacillati; Bacillota; Bacilli; Caryophanales; Staphylococcaceae. The record is from RNAcentral.
GGGUCUUGUACACACCGCCCGUCACACCACGAGAGUUUGUAACACCCGAAGCCGGUGGAGUAACCUUUUAGGAGCUAGCCGUCGAAGGUGGGACAAAUGAUUGGGGUGAAGUCGUAACAAGGUAGCCGUAUCGGAAGGUGCGGCUGGAUCACCUCCUUU